This 403-nucleotide ribosomal RNA is filed under the name uncultured bacterium. RNAcentral's name for it is "partial 16S ribosomal RNA". It matches the Rfam family "Bacterial small subunit ribosomal RNA", at positions 30 to 526 of the family's 1533-position model. The record is from RNAcentral.
AUUGAACGCUGGCGGCAGGCCUAACACAUGCAAGUCGAGCGAGCGGCGGACGGGUGAGUAAUGUAUGGGGACUGCCCGAUAGAGGGGGAUAACUACUGGAAACGGUGGCUAAUACCGCAUACUAUCGGAUAACCCAUAUGGGAUUAGCUAGUAGGUGGGGUAAAGGCUCACCUAGGCGACGAUCUCUAGCUGGUCUGAGAGGAUGAUAAUCGACACUCGGACUGAGACACGGUCCAGACCCCCAUGGAGGCAGCAGCGGGGAGUAAAGCACAAUGGGCGCAAGCCUGAUGAAGCCAUGCCGCGUGUAUGAAGAAGGCAUUAGGGUUGUAAAGUACUUUCAGCGGGGAGGCGUUACCCGCAGAAGAAGCACCGGCUAAUUCCGUGCCAGCAGCGGCGGCCAUAC